RNAcentral lists this ribosomal RNA (253 nucleotides) under uncultured bacterium. RNAcentral's name for it is "partial 16S ribosomal RNA". It matches the Rfam family "Bacterial small subunit ribosomal RNA", at positions 524 to 776 of the family's 1533-position model. The record is from RNAcentral.
UACAGAGGGUGCAAGCGUUGUUCGGAAUUAUUGGGCGUAAAGCGCGUGUAGGCGGCUUUGCAAGUCGGGUGUGAAAGCCAUCAGCUCAACUGAGGAAGUGCGCCCGAAACUGCAGAGCUUGAGUACCGGAGAGGAUGGCGGAAUUCCCCAAGUAGAGGUGAAAUUCGUAGAUAUGGGGAGGAACACCGGUGGCGAAGGCGGCCAUCUGGACGGAUACUGACGCUGAGGUGCGAAAGCGUGGGGAGCAAACAGG